RNAcentral lists this ribosomal RNA (459 nucleotides) under uncultured bacterium. Its description in RNAcentral is "partial 16S ribosomal RNA". It matches the Rfam family "Bacterial small subunit ribosomal RNA", at positions 338 to 795 of the family's 1533-position model. The record is from RNAcentral.
CCUACGGGUGGCAGCAGUGAGGAAUAUUGGUCAAUGGACGAGAGUCUGAACCAGCCAAGUAGCGUGAAGGAUGACUGCCCUAUGGGUUGUAAACUUCUUUUAUAUGGGAGUAAAACGUUCCACGUGUGGGAUUUUGUAUGUACCAUAUGCAUAAGGAUCGGCUAACUCCGUGCCAGCACCCGCGGUAUUACGGAGGAUCCGAGCGUUAUCCGGAUUUAUUGGGUUUAAAGGGAGCGAAGGCGGAGCGUUAAGUCAAGGGGAAAAUUGAGGGGCUCAACCCCUUCCCGCCAUUGAAUCUGGCAGGCUAGAGUGGAGGAGAGGUAUGCAGAAUGCGUGGUGUAGCGGUGAAAUGCAUAGAGAUCACGCAGAACACCGAUGGCGAAGGCAGCAUGCCGGCUUCCGACUGACGCUGAGGCACGAAAGCGUGGGGAGCGAACAGGAUUAGAUACCCUGGUAGUC